RNAcentral lists this long non-coding RNA (2021 nucleotides) under Citrus maxima (pomelo). RNAcentral describes it as "long non-coding RNA (CMAX_LNC003444)". Lineage: Eukaryota; Viridiplantae; Streptophyta; Magnoliopsida; Sapindales; Rutaceae. The record is from RNAcentral.
UUGCUAGAUACUUCUAGAAACUCUACACGCACACUCGCACUGAGCUAGUGGUUACUAAAACCGUUACAACAAUAUUGCCAGCUCAGCAUAACCAACUUAUAACUAACACACUCAGCUGCAGGGGAAACCAUCAAGCUUACUGCGCAUCCUCUGUAAUCAAGCUUCUUUAAGCAUGCUCUGCAGAUCAUAUUUUUGUGGGUCUUACAUUAUCCAAAAAAAUAACUCGUCCAUCUAGUAACUGCAAGUACAUACUGUGAGAUGCUUAAACUCAACAAUAUAAGCAUGGUAAAUUAGAGAAAAAUGAUGCAAAUUAGAUACACCUGCACAGAAUGCCAGUUAAUUUGGUCAUAAUUAGAUAACAAGAUUGCAAAUUCUGCAGCCAAAGGUAGAACGCAACUAAGGAAAUCAAAUAUGAACAUGUCUUCAAUCUCAAAAUAUUAAGAGUAGCAUAAGUAACUUGUGAAACAGUUAUAAGUUCAAAGGAAUUAGAUGAUGGCAUGGUUGAAUUUAUAAAUAUUUGAUAUUUUGGACCGAACAGGGCAAACAGAUGGAUCCAGAUAAUUAAGAAAAAAUAUCAAUUCCAUGCAACCAAAUUAGUGUGUACAAUGCAAUUGCCUUUCCCUAUGAGAGUAGAGAGCCUAAAUACAAGCAAAAACCUACUAAUGCAUCUGCAGAAGCUCACAUUCACUAGCUGCAUGAUUAAAUCACUGGAUGGUCUCGCUAUGCGGUGAAGAAUGAAAUAAUUAACGACCUGAUAAGGCUGCAACGUGAAGAAACUAUUCACCAGAAAAAGUUCAAAAUCAAAUCAACGUGGUUUUGAUUUUGGAAAAAAUGAAACAAUACGUAGUGAAUGAAUCUGCUCGUAACUAUGCAAGACACAAUCACUUCCCAGGAUCUCAGAUAUAGAUUUACCAAGUUGCACAGAUUGAAGAACGAAUCCAGAAAGAAUCAAUUUAACACAAGAAUUAAGAGAACUGAAAAGAAUAGAAACAAACACAGACAACACAAGAAUCAAUUACGUGGUUCGGUUGCACCAAGGAGGCACAACCUACAUCCACCACGGGAGAUGCUUUGGAGAGCUUUUAUUGAAUAACAAUGGAUGAUCUUUUACAGGGCUUUUACUUAAGAUUACAGAGAACUCAUCUUUCACAGUCUCUGAUAUCUCUCUCUCUUAACACGGUUACACACACGCUCAGCUCACAAACUGAACUACAAGAGCAACGAAUCAGCUAAAUCCAGAUUGCACAGCUUGUUGACACGUUGAGUAACAGACUUAACGAACUGAAUCAAGUUGCCUCGCACGGCUAUCACGUGCAUCACUUAAAGCUUUCCCUUAAACGACACAGAAGAACUGCCGUUUCAAGCUUAAGAAACAAGUGAUUACACAGGUGCUUCAGCCCGUGACUUUUAAGUGCUCUUAUCUUAUAUUGCCAAAACGCUGCCGUUUAGAGAUGAUGAGUUUGAUUCACCAGCAAGCCUCACACAAUAUCACUUGAGCAACACUAUAAAAUUAUUCAAAGAAAUCUCUAGGUCAGUAUCCAAAUAUGUGGCUCCGUCAGUUCCACCACAACCCAAAAUAUCAGAUCCCCCCAUUUGGAUUCGACUGAUCAAUUUGAGCAUAUAAAAUCGGGUUUUAAAUUUCCCUAAUCAAAAUUUAUAUUCCGCAGAAUCGGUUCCUUUAACAUGAUGCAUUACAUAAUAUUUUGUUUGCAAAAUAAAGAAGAAAGAUGACAUAAUAGAAACACUCGCAGAGAGAGAAUACCUUUGACGAAAAGCUUAGAAGUGAAUCCUCUGUAAAAUACGAGUUGAGCUGCUGAAUUUUUCGAGUUUGAAUGAGAGACUGCGCCAUUUCUGAAAAUGUUUUUUUCUCAUUAGCGCCGCCAUUUUUGUAAUAGAGGGUAAAGAAAUAAGUAACAAAGUAAGAGGUGAGCAGAAGCGGCCCAAUUUAGUUAUAUGCAUGUAUGUGAUCAAAAUUGGAUGGUUAAAUUUUGUUGUUUCCAAUAAUUUUAUGUUGUAUCUUU